GUGGGGAAUAUUGGGCAAUGGGGGAAACCCUGACCCAGCAACGCCGCGUGAAGGAAGAAGGCUAUCGGGUUGUAAACUUCUUUUACCAGGGAAAAACACAAUGAUGGUACCUGGAGAAAAAGCUACGGCUAACUACGUGCCAGCAGCCGCGGUAAUACGUAGGUGGCAAGCGUUGUCCGGAAUUACUGGGUGUAAAGGGCGUGUAGGCGGAACUACAAGUCAGGGGUGAAAACUAUGGGCUUAACCCAUAGCCUGCCUUUGAAACUGUAGUCCUUGAGUGCUGGAGAGGCAAUUGGAAUUCCUAGUGUAGCGGUGAAAUGCGUAGAUAUUAGGAGGAACACCAGUGGCGAAGGCGAAUUGCUGGACAGUAACUGACGCUGAGGCGCGAAAGCGUGGGGAGCAAACAGGAUUAGAAACCCCUGUAGUCC
RNAcentral lists this ribosomal RNA (428 nucleotides) under uncultured bacterium. RNAcentral describes it as "partial 16S ribosomal RNA". It matches the Rfam family "Bacterial small subunit ribosomal RNA", at positions 354 to 796 of the family's 1533-position model. The record is from RNAcentral.